This 1443-nucleotide ribosomal RNA is filed under the name Saccharum spontaneum (wild sugarcane). RNAcentral's name for it is "bacterial SSU rRNA". It matches the Rfam family "Bacterial small subunit ribosomal RNA". Lineage: Eukaryota; Viridiplantae; Streptophyta; Magnoliopsida; Poales; Poaceae. The record is from RNAcentral.
GCUCAGGAUGACCCUGGCGGCCAUGCUUACAACACAUGCAAGUCAACGGGAAUUGUUUUCCCGUGGCUAACGGGUGGUAACGCGUAAUAACCGCCCCUGGGAGGGGAACACAACUAAACGGUUGCUAAUACCCCUAGGCUGAGGAGCAAAAUGAGAAAUCCCCCCCAGGAGGGCCUCGCGUCUGAGUAGCUAUUUGGUGAGGCAAUAGCGUACCAGGCGAGGACAUAUCUGGUUCCGAGAGGAUGAUCCACCCCAACUGGGCUGAGACACGGCCGGCAGACUCCUACGGUAGGAGCAGUGGGGGGAAAUUUUCCUUUCCGCAUGGCAACCUGUCGGAGCAAUGCCGCGUGGAGGUGGAAGGCCUCCGGGUCGUCAACUUCUUUUCUCUCGGAGAAUAACAAUGACGGUAUCUGAGUAAUAAGCAUCGGCUAACCUGUGCCCAUCAGCCGCUGUAAGACAUAGGAUGCAUAGCGUUAUUCCGGAUGAUUGGCGUGAAGGCGCUGUAGGUUGCUUUUCAGUUCCGCUCAAUCCCAGUGGCUCCACCCUGGACGGCGUGGAAACCUACCAAGCGGGAUACGGUAGGGGCAGAGAGGAAGUUUCCUCCUGUGGAGCGGUUAAAUGCAUUUAGAUCGGAAGAACACCAACGGUCGAAGCACUCUGCUGGGCCCCCUGACACUGCGAGACUAAGCUAGGGAGCAAUGGGAUUAGAGACCCCAGUAGUCCCAGCCGUAAACUAUGGAUACUAGUGCUGUGUCUGACUCUGACCUUGCAGUGCUGUGGGGAGCUAAACGCGUUAAGGAUUUCCCGCCUGGGGAUUACGUUCGCAAGAUGAACGCCAGGAUUGACGGGGCCCGCACAGAGCGGUGGAGCAUGUGGUUUAAUUCGCUGCAAGCUAAGACCUUACCAUGGCUUUGACCUGCCGCGAAUCCUCUUGAAAUAGAGGGUGCCCCGGAACGCGGACACAGGUUGGUGCAUGGCUGUCGUCAGCCUCGUGCCGUAAGGUGUUUGGUUAAUCUCGCACCUACGCAACCCUCGUGUUUCGUUGCACUAUGAGUUUGGAAAACCUGAACAGACCCGCCGUUGUUCGCCGGAGGAAGGAGAGAAUGAGGCCAGUCAUCAUAUCCCCCUUAUUCCCUUGGCGACACACUGCUACAUGGUCGGUACAAAGGUCCGCGAUCCUCGCGAGGUGAGCAACUCAAAACUCGUCCUCAGUUUCGGAUUGCAGGCUGCAACUCGCCUGCAUGAAGCAGGAAUCCGCUAGUAAUCGCCGGUCAGCCAUACGGCGGUGAAUCCUUUCCCGGGCCUUUGUACACCAAACCGCCCGUCACACUAUAGAGCUGUCCAUGUUUGAGUCUUAUACCCGUAACCGUAAGGAGGGGAUGCCUAAUGCUGCUGCGACUGGAGUGAAUCGUAACAAGGUAGCCGUACUGUAAGGUGCGGCUG